ACGGAAGGCAGCAGUGGGGAAUAUUGCACAAUGGGGGAAACCCUGAUGCAGCGACGCCGCGUGAGCGAAGAAGUAUUUCGGUAUGUAAAGCUCUAUCAGCAGGGAAGAAAAUGACGGUACCUGACUAAGAAGCCCCGGCUAACUACGUGCCAGCAGCCGCGGUAGUACGUAGGGGGCAAGCGUUAUCCGGAUUUACUGGGUGUAAAGGGAGCGUAGACGGCAAGGUAAGUCUGAAGUGAAAUGCCGGGGCUCAACCCCGGAACUGCUUUGGAAACUAUCUCGCUCGAGUACCGGAGGGGUAAGCGGAAUUCCUAGUGUAGCGGUGAAAUGCGUAGAUAUUAGGAGGAACACCAGUGGCGAAGGCGGCUUACUGGACUGUAACUGACGUUGAGGCUCGAAAGCGUGGGGAGCAAACAGGAUUAGAUACCCUGGUA
Molecule: ribosomal RNA, 434 nt
Filed under: uncultured Lachnospiraceae bacterium
Lineage: Bacteria; Bacillati; Bacillota; Clostridia; Lachnospirales; Lachnospiraceae
Description: partial 16S ribosomal RNA
Rfam family: Bacterial small subunit ribosomal RNA
Source: RNAcentral